Molecule: ribosomal RNA, 253 nt
Filed under: uncultured bacterium
Lineage: Bacteria
Description: partial 16S ribosomal RNA
Rfam family: Bacterial small subunit ribosomal RNA
Source: RNAcentral
CACGAACCGUACGAACGUUAUUCGGAAUUACUGGGCUUAAAGGGUUUGUAGGCGGCCAUGUAAGUCAGGUGUGAAAUCCCUCGGCUCAACCGAGGAACGGCGCUUGAUACUGCAUGGCUUGAGGGGGACAGGGGUAAGCGGAACUGAUGGUGGAGCGGUGAAAUGCGUUGAUAUCAUCAGGAACACCGGUGGCGAAAGCGGCUUACUGGGUCUCUUCUGACGCUGAGGCGCGAAAGCGUGGGGAGCAAACAGG